AACAGGAUUAGAUACCCUGGUAGUCCACGCUGUAAACGAUGUCGACUUGGAGGUUGUGCCCUUGAGGCGUGGCUUCCGGAGCUAACGCGUUAAGUCGACCGCCUGGGGAGUACGGCCGCAAGGUUAAAACUCAAAUGAAUUGACGGGGGCCCGCACAAGCGGUGGAGCAUGUGGUUUAAUUCGAUGCAACGCGAAGAACCUUACCUACUCUUGACAUCCAGAGAAUUUGCUAGAGAUAGCUUAGUGCCUUCGGGAACUCUGAGACAGGUGCUGCAUGGCUGUCGUCAGCUCGUGUUGUGAAAUGUUGGGUUAAGUCCCGCAACGAGCGCAACCCUUAUCCUUUGUUGCCAGCGGUCCGGCCGGGAACUCAAAGGAGACUGCCAGUGAUAAACUGGAGGAAGGUGGGGAUGACGUCAAGUCAUCAUGGCCCUUACGAGUAGGGCCACACACGUGCUACAAUGGCAUAUACAAAGAGAAGCGACCUCGCGAGAGCAAGCGGACCUCAUAAAGUAUGUCGUAGUCCGGAUUGGAGUCUGCAACUCGACUCCAUGAAGUCGGAAUCGCUAGUAAUCGUGGAUCAGAAUGCCACGGUGAAUACGUUCCCGGGCCUUGUACACACCGCCCGUCACACCAUGGGAGUGGGUUGCAAAAGAAGUAGGUAGCUUAACCUUCGGGAGGGCGCUUACCACUUUGUGAUUCAUGACUGGGGUGAAGUCGUAACAAGGUAACC
Molecule: ribosomal RNA, 730 nt
Filed under: uncultured bacterium
Lineage: Bacteria
Description: bacterial SSU rRNA
Rfam family: Bacterial small subunit ribosomal RNA
Source: RNAcentral